UGACAUCCUGGAGCUGGCGAUGGCCAAGGGGCCCAUGUUCUCGUGGCUGAGGUACUGGCCGGAAGAGGGGUAUCCCGAGGAGGGCCGACCUUACUGAAGCCCAUCUCGGCUGUUAGGUAUAUACUCCCUCCGUCCCAUAAUAUAAGAGCGUUGCUCUUAUAUUAUGGGACGGAGGGAGUACUUGCAAUUUUAUUAUGCGUCAGUGUUGGGGCCUUUUCCCCUGAUCGAUCCAGUCCAGGAGUUGAUCAUCUCCCGUGCCACUAAUUAUCAUACUGCCAAUGACUAUCCUGUGCACCUAUGUAGUUCAAAAUGUGCUUAAGAUUACUGCAGACAAUGAUCCAAUGAUCCCUUCAAUGUGAGUUUAUCUUCACUCGGUGUCUGAAAUGAUAUGUGGUGCAAAAUGGAUCAUGUCUUGCCAAAUUGGCCAAUUUGAGUUAUAGCCUUGCUAACUCUUUUUGUUUGAUGAGGUUAAGCUAAUAUUCAU
Molecule: long non-coding RNA, 484 nt
Filed under: Triticum aestivum (bread wheat)
Lineage: Eukaryota; Viridiplantae; Streptophyta; Magnoliopsida; Poales; Poaceae
Description: long non-coding RNA (TAES_LNC020505)
Source: RNAcentral